RNAcentral lists this ribosomal RNA (253 nucleotides) under uncultured bacterium. RNAcentral describes it as "partial 16S ribosomal RNA". It matches the Rfam family "Bacterial small subunit ribosomal RNA", at positions 524 to 776 of the family's 1533-position model. The record is from RNAcentral.
UACGUAGGUGGCAAGCGUUGUCCGGACUUACUGGGUGUAAAGGGCGUGCAGCCGGAGAGACAAGUCAGAUGUGAAAUCCACGGGCUCAACUCGUGAACUGCAUUUGAAACUGUUUCCCUUGAGUGUCGGAGAGGUAAUCGGAAUUCCUUGUGUAGCGGUGAAAUGCGUAGAUAUAAGGAAGGACACCAGUGGCGAAGGCGGAUUACUGGACGAUAACUGACGGUGAGGCGCGAAAGCGUGGGGAGCAAACAGG